UACAGAGACUGCAAGCGUUGUUCGGAUUCAUUGGGCGUAAAGGGUGCGCAGGCGGUGUGUUAAGUCGGAUGUGAAAUCUCACAGCCUAACUGUGAUAGGUCAUUCGAAACUGGCAUGCUAGAGGACUGGAGAGGAGACUGGAAUGGUCGGUGUAGCGGUGAAAUGCGUAGAGAUCGAGCAGAACACCGGUGGCGAAGGCGGGUCUCUGGACAGAGUCUGACGCUGAGGCGCGAAAGCUAGGGGAGCAAACAGG
This 253-nucleotide ribosomal RNA is filed under the name uncultured bacterium. RNAcentral's name for it is "partial 16S ribosomal RNA". It matches the Rfam family "Bacterial small subunit ribosomal RNA", at positions 524 to 776 of the family's 1533-position model. The record is from RNAcentral.